Molecule: long non-coding RNA, 183 nt
Organism: Juglans microcarpa x Juglans regia
Lineage: Eukaryota; Viridiplantae; Streptophyta; Magnoliopsida; Fagales; Juglandaceae
Exons: 3
Source: RefSeq, a predicted model, not a curated record
ACUUAAAUAUUUAAAAAAAUAAAAAAAAUAUACUAAUACACUUAAAAUUACUUUUUUAAUCAUUAAAUAAAAAUAAAAAAUAAAAAUAAAAACUUUUUUCCGAACAGUCAAGUAAAGCGGUAAGAAUUGGUGGGCACAACAGCUUGUUUCCACUAGAUAAAGAAUGUUCUAGAGAAGCGCAAC